CCUACGGGUGGCAGCAGUCGAGAAUCAUGCACAAUGGGGGAAACCCUGAUGGGGCGACGCCGCGUGGGGGAAUGAAGGUCUGCGGAUUGUAAACCCCUGUCAUGUGGGAGCAAAGUAAAAAGAUAGUACCACAAGAGGAAGAGACGGCGAACUCGGUGCCAGCAGCCGCGGUAAUACAGAGGUCUAAAGCGUUGUUCGGAACAACUGGGCGUAAAGCGUGCGUAGGCGGUUGCGUAAGUCGUGUGUGAAAGGCGCGGGCUCCACCCGCGGACGGCCCAUGAUACUGCGAGACUAGAGUACUGGCGGGUGCACCGGCAUUCUCGGUGUAGCCGU
RNAcentral lists this ribosomal RNA (333 nucleotides) under uncultured bacterium. RNAcentral describes it as "partial 16S ribosomal RNA". It matches the Rfam family "Bacterial small subunit ribosomal RNA", at positions 338 to 682 of the family's 1533-position model. The record is from RNAcentral.